This 334-nucleotide unclassified non-coding RNA is filed under the name soil metagenome. Its description in RNAcentral is "partial contains 5.8S ribosomal RNA, internal transcribed spacer 2, and large subunit ribosomal RNA". The stretch from base 1 to 120 matches the Rfam family "5.8S ribosomal RNA", at positions 35 to 154 of the family's 154-position model. The record is from RNAcentral.
GAUGAAGAACGUAGCAAAAUGCGAUACGUAAUGUGAAUUGCAGAAUUCAGUGAAUCAUCGAAUCUUUGAACGCACAUUGCGCCUGCCAGCACUCUGGCAGGCAUGCCUGUUCGAGCGUCAUUUCAACCAUCAAGCCCUAGGCUUGCGUUGGAGCCCUGCGGCUGCCGCAGGCCCCUAAAAGCAGUGGCGGGCUCGCUAUCACACCGAGUGCAGUAGAUUACUCUUCGCUCAGGGCGUGUGGCGGGUUCCAGCCGUGAAACCCCCUACUUCUCAAGGUUGACCUCGGAUCAGGUAGGAAUACCCGCUGAACUUAAGCAUAUAAAUAAGCGGAGGA